UGCCGAAGAUUGGCCCUCGGUACAUACCGUACGUCACACCACGUCAAUUCCAUAAUGCUUUGAAACUGUGUAGCAAACAACCGCAGCCAGCUUUCAGGUUGGUAAAAGUCCGUCUCUUGUCCUUCAUUUUGAAUGUACUAGGUAUCUGAAUAUUUAUUGGUUUUGAGCAUUUCCAUUUGGAUCGACUGCUGAUUUCUCUGCACCUGUUAACAUGGUCAACGUACACAAAGGUGUUCUUGUAGAAUGUGAUCCUGCCAUGAAACAGUUCCUCCUCUACUUGGAUGAAAAAAUGGCCCUGGGAAAGAAAUUCAUCCUCAAGGACCUUGACGACACACACCUCUUCAUCCUGGCAGAGGUGGUACAGACCCUCCAGGAGAGAGUUGGCGAGUUAAUGGACCAGAACUCAUUCACCGUCACGCAGAAAUAAUAUUCAACUGUUCCAAAGAAGUCUUGCUUCUUGGACUCAGGGCAGUUUGAGAGUUUCUUUAGAUGAACACGGUUUGCAUUGUUUUGACAAUGUAAAUCACCAGAAACAUGGAUCUAACUUGCAGCCAAACAACGUUGCAGCAUAAAAAGACCGAGAAGAAAUGUCGGAAACGUUUGCAAAUGUUAAACAUGCAAAUGAGACAUCCGAACUGAGUUCUCUGUGGGAGAAUAGAAUGUGUUUGUACGGUCUGGCGAAAAACUAGGCCACACAACAACUUAAGAGCUUUGGUAGCCUCUAGUGUAGAAUGGAGCUGACUGCAUGAUUCAACCCUAUACUGAAUAUUUGAGCCAGAACGGACUCGUAUCUCGUAAAACACAAUGCAUUCCUUCGCUGAUUUUUUUCAGCAAAUUGUCAACCUUCAGAUUAUUUCAAACAUGUUUCAUUAGCAAAAUAAAGUGAACCGUCUGAUUCUUC
Etheostoma spectabile (orangethroat darter) is the source of this 901-nucleotide RNA transcript. It is a transcript of the gene named general transcription factor IIH, polypeptide 5, with no coding region annotated. The transcript has 4 exons. The record is from RefSeq and is a predicted model, not a curated record. NCBI's taxonomy places the organism in Eukaryota, Metazoa, Chordata, Actinopteri, Perciformes, Percidae.